GAUGAAGAACGUAGCGAAAUGCGAUACUUGGUGUGAAUUGCAGAAUCCCGUGAACCAUCGAGUCUUUGAACGCAAGUUGAGCCCGAAGCCAUUAGGCCGAGGGUACGCCUGCCUGGGCGUCACACGUCGUUGCCCCCCCAUCUACUCCUUCGGGAUUGCGGGGGGCGGAUGAUGGCCUCCCGUGCGCCUUGUCGCGCGGUUGGCAUAAAUGCCAAGUCCUCGGCGACGCACGCCACGACAAUCGGUGGUUGCGAAACCUCGGUUGCCCGUCGUGUGCGGUCGUCGCGCAUCGAGGGCUCGAAAAAAUUGUCGGGCUCCGGCUCGGCUUUCAACGCGACCCCAGGUCAGGCGGGGUUACCCGCUGAAUUUAAGCAUAUCAAUAAGCGGAGGA
This 391-nucleotide unclassified non-coding RNA is filed under the name soil metagenome. RNAcentral's name for it is "partial contains 5.8S ribosomal RNA, internal transcribed spacer 2, and large subunit ribosomal RNA". The stretch from base 1 to 122 matches the Rfam family "5.8S ribosomal RNA", at positions 35 to 154 of the family's 154-position model. The record is from RNAcentral.